CUUGACUGUAUUCCUGAUCCUUAUAUGACAAGGGAAGCUUUCUGGCAGAAUGUGGUCCUGUCCUUGUCCGGCAAGAACCAGAAAAGGCAGAUUUCGUUUGCAGUUAAGAAGUGCAGGGAAAAACUUUCUAUUUUAGAUAAAAACGAGCAUACAACACUGGAUUCCUGAUCGGAACGUCACAAGGGGCGCUUUCUGACAGCGUGUCGUCCUGUGUUGUCCGGCAUAAACCUGAAGCAAAUAUGGAGCUGUAUGCCGAUGAACUAUAUAAGAAUGAGACACGCAUCGACUCUGAUUUGGCUGUAUCACAGUUGUCUCCCUUGGGCUGUUGUUUAACUUAUGAUCUUCAUGUUGAGACAAAAAGAAAGAGAUAUAUGAGCAGACUUCCGACAGAAUAUCCUUGAAAUGGAGGUCAUAUGGAGCUCUUCCUGGCAGGAUAUAGUCAUUGGUUGUCCAUCAAAAACCAGAAACACACAUAGAAAGAUAAAUACAUGUAAUGUGUUUUGGUUUGUUUACAUGUUUGUCGAGUCAGAACUAAUAUGAAUAUGUUACAUCUACCAAUGGAUAAAUAGCUGAUUUCUCGCGGAAACAUUACAUGCAAAUGACAGAGUGUUUUUGUGGUUCACCUAUGACGCUCUUGUCUCAAUUGAGUAAACAGCAAUAGAAGUUUAACUUUUUGUUGUAAAUGCUGUUGUUUUUUGUAUAGACAUUUUUUUAUAAUUGUCUUUACAACUGCAGUGGUGUAAUGUUUACGCGAAUGGUGAUUAUGAAAUCUCAUGUAAGCCACCAUUCAUGACAGAAGACAGAAUUGAGAGCAGAAAGUCGAAAGUAACCAUAUGUGUUUGUA
Mya arenaria is the source of this 844-nucleotide long non-coding RNA. RefSeq lists it as uncharacterized. NCBI's taxonomy places the organism in Eukaryota, Metazoa, Mollusca, Bivalvia, Myida, Myidae. The transcript has 4 exons. The record is from RefSeq and is a predicted model, not a curated record.